Molecule: ribosomal RNA, 133 nt
Filed under: uncultured bacterium
Lineage: Bacteria
Description: partial 16S ribosomal RNA
Source: RNAcentral
UAAUAUCUCGUUCUGCAUACUAUUUAUAUACAAACCAUUGCUCACAAAGAAAAAGGAUUUUACACACCGAAAUGCUUCUUCAUCCACGCGGCGUCGCACUAUCAGAGUUUCCUCCAUUGUAGACUAUUCUCGA